AAAGUUCAAAAUGAUAAAACGGUAUUUCUUGAAUUAACGCAUGUGUGAAAUUGCUUAAGGUUGCUAAUGGAGCCCGAGUCUAGUGUGAUUGAUGAUUUACUGUUAUUUGCUCUGUUUUACACUGUUUUACAGCUUUAAAUGCAUUAUGGGGUUUGAUGUGUUCAUUUUACAGAUUUGUGUGCAUAUACUACGUUUUUAUUAAUUAUGGGUUGAAUGACUGAAAAAACUGAUAUUGUAUGUUGUCUGUUGAUAUGAAUUACGAUUUGCUUGUUUAAAUGUGAAUUGAUGAUGUUGAUUGAGGAAAAGGAAAAUGAAAGAUUGUUUAGACUGAUAAUUGUAUUAUGGGGGGUCAGCCUGACUAGAUAUCCUGGGAGAUGGUGGACGGACCGGGUCCGUAGGGAACCCUACCGGGAUUGUGGUCUCACAUGCCGGACGGGGUAUGGAGAUCUUAUGGUUUUGGCGCCCAUACCGGACGGGGUAUGGGGACGGCCCGUUUCACCCUCAUACCGGACGGGGUAUUGAGGUUUAUGGUUUUGGCGCCCAUACCGGACGGGGUAUGGGGACGGCCCGUUUCACCCUCAUACCGGACGGGGUAUUGAGGUUCAUGGUUUUGGCGCCCAUACCGGACGGGGUAUGGGGACGGCCCUGGAAACUGAUUAUGAAUGUUAAAGGUUAACGGGUAGCGGAACCCCUAUGGACCCCCACGGAUACUAGUAGGCUGGUAAAUGAGAAAAAGGGAUAUGUUGUACAAUGAUUGAAUUACAAGAGGCGUGAUAAGUGUUAUGUUUUACAGCUUAGAUUAUUCAAUGAUUAUGAUGAUGUUAUUGUUUUUCUCAUAUUGUUUUCAUAAAUUCCACCAAGGUAAGUGGAUGGUAAAGGUUUUCAUGUUA
Molecule: long non-coding RNA, 890 nt
Filed under: Carica papaya (papaya)
Lineage: Eukaryota; Viridiplantae; Streptophyta; Magnoliopsida; Brassicales; Caricaceae
Description: long non-coding RNA (CPAP_LNC014739)
Source: RNAcentral